UNUGACUUGAGUGCAGAAGGGGAGAGUGGAAUUCCAUGUGUAGCGGUGAAAUGCGUAGAUAUAUGGAGGAACACCAGUGGCGAAAGCGGCUCUCUGNUCUGUCACUGACGCUGAGGCUCGAAAGCGUGGGUAGCGAACAGGAUUAGAUACCCUGGUAGUCCACGCCGUAAACGAUGAGUGCUAGGUGUUAGGCCCUUUCCGGGGCUUAGUGCCGGAGCUAACGCAAUAAGCACUCCGCCUGGGGAGUACGACCGCAAGGUUGAAACUCAAAGGAAUUGACGGGGGCCCGCACAAGCGGUGGAGCAUGUGGUUUAAUUCGAAGCAACGCGAAGAACCUUACCAGGUCUUGACAUCCCGAUGCUAUUCUUAGAGAUAGGAAGUUACUUCGGUACAUCGGAGACAGGUGGUGCAUGGUUGUCGUCGGCUCGUGUCGUGAGAUGUUGGGUUAAGUCCCGCAACGAGCGCAACCCUUAUUGUUAGUUGCCAUCAUUAAGUUGGGCACUCUAGCGAGACUGCCGGUAAUAAACCGGAGGAAGGUGGGGAUGACGUCAAAUCAUCAUGCCCCUUAUGACCUGGGCUACACACGUGCUACAAUGGUCGGUACAACGAGUUGCGAGCCGGUGACGGCAAGCUAAUCUCUGAAAGCCGAUCUCAGUUCGGAUUGGAGGCUGCAACUCGCCUCCAUGAAGUCGGAAUCGCUAGUAAUCGCGGAUCAGCACGCCGCGGUGAAUACGUUCCCGGGCCUUGUACACACCGCCCGUCACACCACGAGAGUUUGUAACACCCGAAGUCGGUGAGGUAACCUUUUAGGGGC
This 814-nucleotide ribosomal RNA is filed under the name uncultured bacterium. RNAcentral describes it as "bacterial SSU rRNA". It matches the Rfam family "Bacterial small subunit ribosomal RNA", at positions 636 to 1449 of the family's 1533-position model. The record is from RNAcentral.